Loxodonta africana (African savanna elephant) is the source of this 4140-nucleotide long non-coding RNA. RefSeq lists it as uncharacterized. NCBI's taxonomy places the organism in Eukaryota, Metazoa, Chordata, Mammalia, Proboscidea, Elephantidae. The transcript is spliced from 9 exons. The record is from RefSeq and is a predicted model, not a curated record.
UUGACCCGACUGGCCACUGCAGUCGCCAUCUUCUUCUCUCACGGCUACCACUUCCGCAAGGAAACAGCCACGGCACGCAGGAAGGGACAAAAAAGCCAGACUUGAAAUGCGAAGGCCUGACUAAGGAAGGGAGGGUUAGCCGAAGAGAGGAGAGUGCGCAUGCGUCUUCCUAGGCGCCCGCCCGGUAGGAAGUCCCAGCAAGGAGGAUUCCGUCCAGUAUCCCAUGUUGCAUUCAGUUGUCACUUCUCUUUAGUGUCCUUCAAUUGGUGACAAUUCUUCAGUCUUCCCUUGCGUUCAUGACCUUGAUACUUUUGAGUCCUCUGCAUACCCUUCCUCAUCUGAUGUCUUUAAAAGCCUACAGCCCUGGGACCAUCAGGAAGUGUGUGUGUGCAGAAAAUUACAAAAACAAGGCUCUAGGAAUUGACGGAAUACCAACAGAGAUGUUUCAACAAAGAGAUGCAGAGCUAGAGGUGCUCAUCGUCUAUGUCAAGAAAUUUGGAAGACAGCUUCCUGGCCAACUGACUGGAAGAGAUCCAUAUUUGUACCAUUCCAAAGAAAGGUGAUCUAACAGAAUAUGGAAAUUAUCAAACAAUAUCAUUAAUAUCACACACAAGUAAAACUUUGCUGAAGAUAUUUCAAAAGUGGCUGCAGUAGUACAUCGACAGGGAACUGCCAGAAGUUCAAGCUGGAGUCAGAAGAAGACAUGGAAUGAGGGAUAUCAUUGGUGAUGUUAGAUGGAUCUUGGCUGAAAGCAGAGAAUACCAGAAAGAUGUGUUUUAUUGACUAUGCAAAGGCAUUCGACUGUGUGGAUCAAGACAAAUUAUGGAUAACAUUGAGGAAAAUGGGAAUUCCAAAACACUUAAUUGUGCUCAUGAGGAACCUGUAUAUAGACCAGGAGGAAGUUGUUUGAAGAGAACAAGGGGAUACUGUGUGGCUUAAAGUUAGGAAAGGUGUGUGUCAGGAUUGCAUUCUUUCACCAUACCUAUUCAAUCUGUAUGCUAAACCAAUAAUCCAAGAAACUGGAUUCUAUAAAGGAGAAUGCAGCAUCAGGAUUGGAGGAAGACUCAUUAACAACCUUGGUUAUGCAGAUGACACAACCUUGCUUGCUGAAAGUGAAGAGGACUUGAAGCACUUAGUGAUGAAGAUCAAAGACCACAGCCUUGCACCUCAACAUAAAACAAAAACCCUCACAAUUGGACGAAUAAGCAACAUUGUGAUAAACGGAGAAAAUAUUGAAGUUGUCGAGGAUUUCAUUUUACUUGGAUCCACAAUCAACGCCCAUGGAAGCAGCGGUCAGGAAAUCAAACAAUGUGUUGCAUUGGGCAAAUCUGCUGUACUUUUAAGUGUUGAAAAGCAAAGACGUCACUUUGAGGACUAAAGUGCACCUGACCCCAAACCAUGAUAUUUUCAAUUGCCUCAUAUGUAUGUGAAAGCUGGACGAUGAAUAAGGAAAACCAAAGAAAAAUUGAUGCCUUUGAAUUAUGGUGUUCUUGAAGAAUAUUGAAUAUACCAUGGACUGCCAAAAGCAUGAACAAGUCUAUCUUGGGAGAAGUACAGCCUUCUUGGAAGUGAGGAUGGUGGGCCUUCUUCUCACAUACUUUGGACAUGUUAUCAGGAGGGACCAGUCCCUGGAGAAGGACAUCAUGCUAAGUAAGGUAGAACAUCAGUGAAAAAGAAGACCCUCAACGAAAUGGAUUGACGCAGUGACUGCAACAACGGACUCAAACAUAGCAAUGACUGUGAGGAUGGCACAGUUAGUUCUGUUAUACAUGAGUUCACUACAAGUCAGAGCCAAUUCAGUGGCACCCAACAACGACAACAACUUUUUAUAUAUUAUCCGUAGCUUGGAUUUUCUCUGACUUUCAUGACUAAAGUCAAAAGUAGGAACAACCCCCCCACCCCCCCCAAUUUUUUUUUUAGUGAUUCUUUUCUGCAAUUCACCUGGUGUUCAUUCCUUUCUUGCAAGUUUCAAACACACUAUUUUACCUUCCAAAAUGGCAAAAAUCUCAGUUUGUAAACCUGUUGGGAAGCAGGCCCUUUCACACACUGCCUGCCAUUUCCUGGACUAUUUGGCAAUAUCUAUCAACAUUAACAAUGAUAGCCUCUUUGGCCCAGCAUCCCACUUCUGGGAAUUUUACAACCUGAAUAAUGAGGAAUUAUGAUUUUUACAAGAUUAUUUAUUAGAGCAUUGUUUGUAAUAACAAAAGACAAGGCAACCCGAGAGGCCUUCCGCUGAGCACUGCUUAAAUAGACUGUGGCAGAGGGUACCUCAUGUGGGCGGCCAAGAGGUCCUGCUGAGGCCAGAGCAUAAGCCCUAGGCCACAGCCAAGACUCAGUUCAGCUGUGCUCGACUGCUUGUGGGAGGCCAGGGGACUGCCUCCAGCGAAAAGACAGGGCUGUGCCAGGUGAGGAAGAGUGAGGAAACCCCACCUGGCCUGUUUCUCAAUGAACAUGGCAGGGCCCAAGCAGACCGGGUGCCAAUUUCCGUUUCCGGGUUGCCCAGUCCACGUGGUCAUUGCCAUUUCCGGGCACAAUCCACCAUUGUUGUACCUUUUCAAGAAGGUGUGCCGGAAACCGAGAGCUCAAAAAAAAAGGAAAGUAUAUCCCCCGACAGGCUUUCCUAACACAAAAACAUUACUUCAAAUCACCCGGUAUUUGAAUUUAACAGAAAGCAUAAGCCAAAAGGCCGUAGUGCUAUGGUCUCCACUGACUGUUCUGCCGGGGUAUAUAGACGUGAACAAUUUUUCCCUCAUACUUGUGGUUGAUUGAAGAAAAAAUAAGACUUUUCCACUCCCAAGGUCGUGUUCUCACUGAUCCUCCAUUUCAAGCACGCUGUGGAGUGCUGCGGUUUGGAGUUCCCCCAGUGGGUUUGGACCUUGAGGCAUUUAUUGUCAGCUUCCGGUUGAGAAGUAAGGUAGUAGAUCGUUCCGGAAGGAUGCGUGAGCUGAUGACCUGUGCCGACCAGCACGUUUCCAUCUCCCUGCUAACGAAACGGAAAACUUGGGAGUUGAUGUGUCCAAUAUAGACAACAAAUGACCUGGAAAAGGAAGGCCAAAUACCUCUACUUCUAAGAUGGGGCUUCAUGCUGGCUUUCCCCAACCCAGAUACGCACGAUUCCAUGAUGAAGAUGUCUGGGAGCCACAGGUUUUCAGCUAAUAAGAGAGCAGAAAGUUUGUGAGAUGGGACUGGGGCCUCUGUGUUCCCCUGUGAGAGGGGUGCUGGAAUGAAGCCUGGGGAACAUUUCUGCAGAGAGAGAAGACAGGAGACACUGGGAGAAGCAGAGACCCUCAUCCACUGAAAGCAAGAACUGACUUAUCAAGAGAAUAAGAGAAGAAAACAACUAUACUUACUAGGAGCCCUGGUGGCGCAAGUGGUUAAGUGCUCAGCUGCUAACUGAAAGGUCAGCAGUUCGAACCCACCACUGCUCCUAAGGAGAAAGAUGUGGCAGCCUGUUUCCAUAAAGAUUACAGCAGCCUUGGAGACUCUACGGAGCAGUUCCUUGGAAUUCACUCAACAAUUAUUUCUGGCAAGGAAGGCUUCAGGGAGGGUGAUCAUGGCUUGGAGAAAGAAGACAGACCAGCUGCUUCAAUGAAGAAGCUUACAGAUUGCUGUGGCCUGAUACAGAGAUAAAAGGACAGGGAAGCAAGCAGAGAGUGGGGACCCCAUACCACCAAGGAAGCAGUGCCUGGAGCAGAGUGUGUCCAGGGGAAGAUUGAUGACAAGGACCUUCUUCCAGAGCAGACAGAGAAAGCCUUCCCUUGGAGCUGACGCCCUAAAUUGGGACUUCUAUCCUACUAGACUGUGAGAGGAUAAAUUUCUCUUUGUCGAAGCUAUCCACUUGUGGUAGUUCUGUUAUAGCAGCACUAGAUAACUAACACACACAUUUUCAUUAGAAAACAAACAAACAAACCAAACCUGUUGUCCUUGAGUUGAUUCAGACUCAUAGUGACCCUAUAGGACAGAGUAGAAAUGCCCCUUAGGGUUUCCAAGGAGUGGCUGGUGGAUUUGAACUGCCAGCCUUUGGGUUAGCAGCCAAGCUCUGAACCACUGUACCACCAGGGCCCUUUAUCAUUAAGAGACGUUAGAAAUACUGUACCAAUAACAUCAAUAAAAUGUUAUUCAAUCGAUCAAAUAAUUUCC